RNAcentral lists this ribosomal RNA (208 nucleotides) under uncultured Syntrophus sp. RNAcentral describes it as "partial 16S ribosomal RNA". It matches the Rfam family "Bacterial small subunit ribosomal RNA", at positions 568 to 774 of the family's 1533-position model. Lineage: Bacteria; Pseudomonadati; Thermodesulfobacteriota; Syntrophia; Syntrophales; Syntrophaceae. The record is from RNAcentral.
CGUGUAGGCGGCUGAGCAAGUCAGAUGUGAAAUCCCUGGGCUUAAACCCAGGAAGUGCAUUUGAAACUGCUUAGCUUGAGUAAGGAAGAGGGAAGUGGAAUUCCUGGUGUAGAGGUGAAAUUCGUAGAUAUCAGGAGGAACACCGGUGGCGAAGGCGACUUCCUGGUCCUAUACUGACGCUGAGACGCGAGAGCGUGGGGAGCAAACA